AUCUGUGCCAAGUCCUCCUGAUGU
This 24-nucleotide non-coding RNA is filed under the name Arabidopsis thaliana (thale cress). The record is from RNAcentral. Lineage: Eukaryota; Viridiplantae; Streptophyta; Magnoliopsida; Brassicales; Brassicaceae.